CACGUAGGCACCAAGCGUUGUCCGGAUUUAUUGGGCGUAAAGAGCUCGUAGGCGGUUCGAUAAGUCGGGUGUGAAACCUCCAGGCUCAACCUGGAGACGCCACCCGAUACUGUCGUGACUAGAGUCCAGUAGGGGAGCGUGGAAUUCCUGGUGUAGCGGUGAAAUGCGCAGAUAUCAGGAGGAACACCAGCGGCGAAGGCGGCGCUCUGGGCUGGAACUGACGCUGAGGAGCGAAAGCGUGGGGAGCGAACAGG
This 254-nucleotide ribosomal RNA is filed under the name uncultured bacterium. Its description in RNAcentral is "partial 16S ribosomal RNA". It matches the Rfam family "Bacterial small subunit ribosomal RNA", at positions 524 to 776 of the family's 1533-position model. The record is from RNAcentral.